GUUGCAACACAUUUUUUUUUAAAUGUAAUCCUUUUUAGAACUCCAAUUGUAAGAAAUAUACAAAGUCUCCAAACUGCCUGUAUUUAGAAUUCAUUUCAACUGAGGAAAAAGCUCUCUCCGAUGGUAAACAUCAACUUUAAUGAUCACGAUGAUGAAAAAGAAGCUAAACUGUUCACUUAAAUAUUCCUCUGUCUCACUGCAUCAAAACACUAAACUCCAAUUCAACUGGGUCUUGAAACAGCAAAUGCUUCUGCUUAGUACAUGAUAUACAUGAUAUAGAAUUGCUGUCUUUUUUCUUCUUUUCAUUGAAAUAUUUGGUGGCUUUCCAAACAAAUUUUAAUCAGAUUUUCGGUAUUAAAUGGUCAUGAUGAGUUAUAAAUAAGUAACUUUCUUCUGCUGUCUCGGUACAGGUGAUCAUCAUUGCUGAAAUAUGAAAAUGCAAAUAUAAUGUACAUGUAUAUAUAUUUAAAUGAAAUGUUUAACAUGAUAUUUAUGAUUAAAGUAUUAAAAAGUAAGUGCAAACAUAUUUCUUCAAGAAGUUACUGUUAAAAUGCAAACAACAUAAUUCCCUGGUCUUUAUUUAAUAACAUGAAUAAUAAAAUUGAGAAAGGAAAUGGGGAUGUGUUAAAACAACAACAACCCGACAAUAGAGCAGACAACAGCCGAAGGCCACCAAUGGGUCUUCAAUGUAGCGAGAAAUUUCAUUAAACAUUUGAACAAGGAUGUAAUUUUUCACACACAUUUUAAUAAGGUGCACUACUUUGAUAAAACUUUAAAAUAAAAUGAGUUAUAUUUAUUGAGAUCAGAAUGUGAGUUCCAUUAUUGCAAUAUUCAAAAUGCAAAUUUGCUAUAUAAAAACAUUACAAUAACUUCUGAAUAUACAUCAUACAUGUACAUUAAUAUUCUUACAAUGUAAGAAAACAGAAAUUUAUUUGCACAAAUUAAACAAGAAUGUGUCCCCAGUACACGGAUGCCCCAUCCGCACUAUCAUUUUCUAUGUUCAGUGGACCAUGAAAAUGGGGUUAAAUCUCUAAUUUGGAAUUAAAAUUAGAAAGAUCAUAUCAUACAGAACAUAUAUACUAAGUUUCAAGUUGAUUAGACUUCAACUUCAUCAAAAACUACCUCGACCAAAAACUUUAACCUGAAGCGGGACAGACGGACGGACGGACGAACGAACAGACGGACGCACAGACCAGAAAACAUAAUGCCCCUAAAUGGGGCAUAAAAAACACUCACUAGCAUAUACAGUAGUUGUCUUUUGUUUAUGUAAUUUAUAUGUGUUUCUUGGUUUUUUUUAUAUAGAUUAGACUGUUGGACUUGGUUUUACCGUAAGAAUGGUUUUACACUAGUAAUUCUGGGGCCCUUUAUAGCUUUAAGUUCAGUGUGAGCCAAGGUUCCUUGUUGAAGGCCGUACGUUGACAUAUAAUGGUUAACUUUUAUAAAUUGUUAUUUGGAUGGAGAGUUGUCUCAUUGGCACUCACACCACAUCUUCCUAUAUCUAUAGACUAUUAACCCCUCCACAUUCUGUAUGCAUGUGCCUGUUAUUCAGUGGUUGUCUAUGUUGCUGUGUUACAUAUUAGACUGUUAGUUUUCUCCUUUGAAUUGCUAAAAAAUACAUUUGCAAUUUAGGGGCCUUUUGUAGCUGAAUAUGCAGAAUGGGCUUUGCUCAUUGUUGAAGGCCAUACAGUGACCUAUAACUAUAGUUGUUAAUUUUGGUGUCAUUUGGACACUUGAGGAGAGUUGUCUCAUUGUACAAAAGUUAGCUGAUUGCAGGAUAAAACAAUUUACCUGUGUAUAAAAAUAAAACUCUCCAAUUUCAAACCAUCACUUUAUAUUUCAUCAAACCUGGAAUGGCAUACUAGUGUAUCUUGUAAUUAACAGGUAAGCUGA
RNAcentral lists this long non-coding RNA (1890 nucleotides) under Mytilus galloprovincialis (Mediterranean mussel). The record is from RNAcentral. Lineage: Eukaryota; Metazoa; Mollusca; Bivalvia; Mytilida; Mytilidae.